RNAcentral lists this ribosomal RNA (449 nucleotides) under uncultured bacterium. RNAcentral describes it as "partial 16S ribosomal RNA". It matches the Rfam family "Bacterial small subunit ribosomal RNA", at positions 29 to 523 of the family's 1533-position model. The record is from RNAcentral.
AACGAACGCUGGCGGCAUGCCUAACACAUGCAAGUCGAACGAGAUCUUCGGGUCUAGUGGCGCACGGGUGCGUAACGCGUGGGAAUCUGCCCUUUGGUUCGGAAUAACAGUUGGAAGCGACUGCUAAUACCGGAUGAUGACGAAAGUCCAAAGAUUUAUCGCCAGAGGAUGAGCCCGCGUAGGAUUAGCUAGUUGGGGUGGUAAAGGCGCACCAAGGCGACGAUCCUUAGCUGGUCUGAGAGGAUGAUCAGCCACACUGGGACUGAGACACGGCCCAGACUCCUAAGGGAGGCAGCAGUGGGGAAUAUUGGACAAUGGGCGAAAGCCUGAUCCAGCAAUGUCGCGUGAGUGAUGAAGGCCUUAGGGUUGUAAAGCUCUUUUACCCGGGAUGAUAAUGACAGUACCGGGAGAAUAAGCUCCGGCUAACUCCGUGCCAGCCGCCGCCGUAA